Molecule: ribosomal RNA, 352 nt
Filed under: uncultured bacterium
Lineage: Bacteria
Description: bacterial SSU rRNA
Rfam family: Bacterial small subunit ribosomal RNA
Source: RNAcentral
AACGAACGCUGGCGGCGUGCCUAACACAUGCAAGUCGAACGAGAAAGGGGCUUCGGCUCCGAGUAAAGUGGCGCACGGGUGAGUAACACGUGGGUAACCUGCCUCUAAGAUUGGGACAACUCGUCGAAAGAUGAGCUAAUACCGAAUAAGACCACAGUUCCUGCGGGAACAGGGGUCAAAGGUAGCCUCUGCUUGCAAGCUAUCACUUAGAGAUGGGCCUGCGCACCAUAGCUAGUUGGUAGGGUAACGGCCUACCAAGGCAAGAUGGUUAGCUGGUCUGAGAGGAUGAUCAGCCACACUGGAACUGAGACACGGUCCAGACUCCUACGGAGGCAGCAGUGGGAAUAUUGCG